This 61-nucleotide microRNA precursor is filed under the name Daphnia pulex (common water flea). RNAcentral describes it as "Dpu-Novel-7_pre stem-loop". Lineage: Eukaryota; Metazoa; Arthropoda; Branchiopoda; Diplostraca; Daphniidae. The record is from RNAcentral.
AGACUUAGCACCAAUCUGUAACUAUAGUAUAAUUGCAGUUACAUAUUUCUGUUAGGUUCUU